UACGUAGGGUGCAAGCGUUAAUCGGAAUUACUGGGCGUAAAGCGUGCGCAGGCGGUCUUGCAAGACAGAUGUGAGAUCCCCGGGCUUAACCUGGGAACUGCAUUUGUGACUGCAAGGCUGGAGCGCGGCAGAGGGGGAUGGAAUUCCGCGUGUAGCAGUGAAAUGCGUAGAUAUGCGGAGGAACACCGAUGGCGAAGGCAAUCCCCUGGGCCUGCACUGACGCUCAUGCACGAAAGCGUGGGGAGCAGACAGG
This 253-nucleotide ribosomal RNA is filed under the name uncultured bacterium. RNAcentral's name for it is "partial 16S ribosomal RNA". It matches the Rfam family "Bacterial small subunit ribosomal RNA", at positions 524 to 776 of the family's 1533-position model. The record is from RNAcentral.